GAACUGAGUGCAGAGGAGAGUGGAAUGCCACGUGUACGGUAAAGCGUAGAGAUGUGGAGGAACACCAGUGGCGAAGGCGACUCUCUGGUCUGUAAUGACGCUGAGGAGCGAAACGUGGGGAGCGAACAGGAUUAGAUACCCUGGUAGCCACGCCGUAAACGAUGAGUGCUAAGUGUUAGGGGGUU
Molecule: ribosomal RNA, 185 nt
Filed under: uncultured bacterium
Lineage: Bacteria
Description: partial 16S ribosomal RNA
Rfam family: Bacterial small subunit ribosomal RNA
Source: RNAcentral